UCGCGGAUCAGCACGCCGCGGUGAAUACGUUCCCGGGCCUUGUACACACCGCCCGUCACACCACGAGAGUUUGUAACACCCGAAGUCGGUGAGGUAACCGUAAGGAGCCAGCCGCCUAAGGUGGGAUAGAUGAUUGGGGUGAAGUCGUAACAAGGUAGCCGUAUCGGAAGGUGCGGCUGGAUCACCUCCUUU
RNAcentral lists this ribosomal RNA (192 nucleotides) under Bradyrhizobium sp. RNAcentral describes it as "partial 16S ribosomal RNA". It matches the Rfam family "Bacterial small subunit ribosomal RNA", at positions 1342 to 1533 of the family's 1533-position model. Lineage: Bacteria; Pseudomonadati; Pseudomonadota; Alphaproteobacteria; Hyphomicrobiales; Nitrobacteraceae. RNAcentral also lists the same sequence under 9 other names. The record is from RNAcentral.